AAUGAAUCAUCUCAAAACUCAUGGCACAGAAGCCAAAGCAUUGGCAGUUGCCUCGACUGCAAUGUGAAAGUAUUAUGCAAGGCCUCCUUUCUUUCCUGCAUCCUUUACGGACUUUUGGACCUAUUAGGAAUGCAAAAACCAGCUUGUUGCUGCACCGGAAGGAGUAAGAGGUAAUCUACACUGCCUCCAAAUGUUUGGCUAGCCUUGUUCUGCAGAGCGGAUCAUGUUUGUGCUUAUCCAAAGAUUUAUAUAUAAAAGGAGAAUAGGCACAGAACCCUUUUGCUGGAAAAUCACCAGAAUGUGCUGAGCGUUCUCAAGGAUAUGACAGUUAUGAUCUCCCAAAAUGAAUCGCAAUAACAAAGAAAAUGAACAGCAGACUCAGCCAUCAGACUUACAAACUAAAAAUACAAGAUACACAGGGGAAGGGAUGCGGAAGGGAAAGGCAGAGGAGGAUGAUCAGUUUUCCAAGGUCGGAAGGUCACCACUUCUGCAUCUCCCGAAAGCAGGAAAUUAAUCACCAAACAAGAAGACUAAAGCAGCCAGAACUCCCUGAGAGACACCUUUCAUUGGUUGUUUCCAUCUCCUGUUUGCUGGCAUCACAGAACCCUGCCUCCCUGCAACUACAUCAACAUCACAUGUAUGAGGCUGAUGGAAUAAGUGAUCUGAAUCAGCCAUCAGAACAAGCAGAGGCGUCAGUACAUCAAGAGCAGUGAAGAAAAGGGGAAGGCAAU
This is a long non-coding RNA of Lacerta agilis (Sand lizard), 731 nucleotides long. RefSeq lists it as uncharacterized. NCBI's taxonomy places the organism in Eukaryota, Metazoa, Chordata, Lepidosauria, Squamata, Lacertidae. The record is from RefSeq and is a predicted model, not a curated record. The transcript is spliced from 6 exons.